RNAcentral lists this ribosomal RNA (1460 nucleotides) under uncultured bacterium. Its description in RNAcentral is "partial 16S ribosomal RNA". It matches the Rfam family "Bacterial small subunit ribosomal RNA". The record is from RNAcentral.
AGGGUUCGAUCAUGGCUCAGGAUGAACGCUGGCGGCGUGCUUAACACAUGCAAGUCGAACGAACCUUCGGGUUAGUGGCGGACGGGUGAGUAACGCGUGAGAAUCUGCCCUCAGGAGGGGGAUAACGGUUGGAAACGACCGCUAAUACCCCAUAUGCCUAUUGGUGAAAUGAAUUUCGCCUGAGGGUGAGCUCGCGUCUGAUUAGCUUGUUGGUGAGGUAAUGGCUCACCAAGGCUUCGAUCAGUAGCUGGUCUGAGAGGAGUGUAUUCAGCCCACACUGGGAGCUGAGACACGGCCCAGACUCCUACGGGAAGCAGCAGUGCGGAAUUUUCCGCAAUGGGCGAAAGCCUGACCGAGCAACGCCGCGCUGAGGAACGAAGGCCUCUGCGCUGUAAACCUCUUUUCUCAAGGAAGAAGAUAUGACGGUACUUGAGGAAUAAGCCACGGCUAAUUCCGUGCCAGCAGCCGCGGUAAUACGGGAGUGGCAAGCGUUAUCAGGAAUUAUUGGGCGUAAAGCGUCCGCAGGCGGCUUUUCAAGUCUGCUGUUAAAGCGUGGAGCUUAACUCCAUCAUGGCAGUGGAAACUGAAAGGCUUGAGUAUGGUAGGGGCAGAGGGAAUUCCCGGUGUAGCGGUGAAAUGCGUAGAUAUCGGGAAGAACACCAGUGGCGAAGGCGCUCUGCUGGGCCAUUACUGACGCUCAUGGACGAAAGCCAGGGGAGCGAAAGGGAUUAGAUACCCCCGUAGUCCUGGCCGUAAACGAUGAACACUAGGUGUCGGGGGAAUCGACCCCCUCGGUGUCGUAGCCAAUGCGUUAAGUGUUCCGCCUGGGGAGUACGCACGCAAGUGUGAAACUCAAAGGAAUUGACGGGGGCCCGCACGAGCGGUGGGAGUAUGUGGUUUAAUUCGAUGAUACGGCGAGGAACCCUUACCAGGGCUUAAAUGUAAGUUGCAUAGAUCAGAGGUGGUCUUUUCCUCGGGACUACUUACAAGGUGCUGCAUGGUUGUCGUCAGCUCGUGCCGUGGAGGUGUCAGGUUAAGUCCUAUAACGAGCGGCAACCCCUAAUCGUUAGUUGCCAACAGGUAAUGCUGGGAACUUCUAGCGAAGAACUGGCCCGGUGCAAACCGCAAGGAAGGUGGGGAUGACGUCAAAUCAUCACGGCCCUUACGUCCUGGCUAACACACGUGCUACCAAUGGGGUCCGGGUAUCAGGAGAGCAGCCACUACGCGAGUAGGAGCAAAUCUUCAAAGCCGAUCUCAGUUCGGAUCGGAGUCUGCAACUCGACUCCGUGAAGCUGGAAUCGCUAGUAAUCGGAUAUCAGCCAUGAUCCGGUGAAUACGUUCCCGGGCCUUGUACACACCGCCCGUCAAGCCAUGGAAGCUGGGAGUGCCUGAAGUCGGUAACCGCAAGGAGCCGCCUAGGGUAAAACUAGUGACUGGGGCUAAGUCGUAACAAGGUAACC